CGGCGGGUGCUAUACUGCAAGUCGAACGGUACUCGCAAGAGUACAGUGGCGAACGGGUGAGUAACGCGUUGGUGACCUGCCCCUUAGAGAGGGAUAACAGAUCGAAAGAUCUGCUAAUACCGCAUGAGAUCCUUGGGAUUAGAAGCUGAGGAUGAAAGCCGAAAGGCGCUGAGGGAGGGACCUGCGUCCCAUCAGCUAGUUGGUGAGGUAACGGCCCACCAAGGCGAUGACGGGUAGGGGACCUGAGAGGGUGACCCCCCACAAUGGAACUGAAACACGGUCCAUACACCUACGGGUGGCAGCAGUAGGGAAUAUUGGGAAUGGGCGCAAGCCUGACCCAGCAACGCCGCGUGAGUGAUGAAGGCCUUCGGGUUGUAAAACUCUUUUCACCGGGAAGAGGAAGGACGGUACCGGUGGAAUAAGUCUCGGCUAACUACGUGCCAGCAGCCGCGGUAACACGUAGGAGACAAGCGUUAUCCGGAUUUACUGGGUGUAAAGCGCGUGCAGGCGGUCUCGUAAGUUGGAUGUGAAAGCUCCUGGCUUAACUGGGAGAGGUCGUUCAAUACUGUGGGACUAGAGGAUGGCAGAGGGGAGUGGAAUUCCGAGUGUAGCGGUAAAAUGCAUAGAUAUUCGGAAGAACACCAGUGGCGAAGGCGGCUCUCUGGGCCAUAUCUGACGCUCAGACGCGAAAGCUAGGGUAGCAAACGGGAUUAGAGACCCCGGUAGUCCUAGCCGUAAACGAUGUGAACUUGGGCGUUGGUGGGUUCAAAUCCAUCAGUGCCGUAGCAAACGCGAUAAGUUCACCACCUGGGGACUACGGCCGCAAGGUUAAAACUCAAAGGAAUUGAC
RNAcentral lists this ribosomal RNA (849 nucleotides) under uncultured bacterium. RNAcentral describes it as "bacterial SSU rRNA". It matches the Rfam family "Bacterial small subunit ribosomal RNA", at positions 40 to 914 of the family's 1533-position model. The record is from RNAcentral.